CAGUAGCCGCGGGAAUACGGAGGGGGCUAGCGUUGUUCGGAAUUACUGGGCGUAAAGCGCACGUAGGCGCACUGGAAAGUCAGAGGUGAAAUCCCAGGGCUCAACCUUGGAACUGCCUUUGAAACUAUCAGUCUGGAGUUCGAGAGAGGUGAGUGGAAUUCCGAGUGUAGAGGUGAAAUUCGUAGAUAUUCGGAGGAACACCAGUGGCGAAGGCGGCUCACUGGCUCGAUACUGACGCUGAGGUGCGAAAGCGUGGGGAGCAAACAGGAUUAGAUACCCGGGUAGUCCCUGUCUCUUAUAC
This 301-nucleotide ribosomal RNA is filed under the name uncultured bacterium. RNAcentral's name for it is "partial 16S ribosomal RNA". It matches the Rfam family "Bacterial small subunit ribosomal RNA", at positions 509 to 807 of the family's 1533-position model. The record is from RNAcentral.